UACGAAGGGGGCGAGCGUUGUUCGGAUUUACUGGGCGUAAAGGGCUCGUAGGCGGCCAACUAAGUCGGACGUGAAAUCCCUCAGCUUAACUGGGGAACUGCGUCCGAUACUGGAUGGCUUGGAUUUGGGAGAGGGAUGCGGAAUUCCAGGUGUAGCGGUGAAAUGCGUAGAUAUCUGGAGGAACACCGGUGGCGAAGGCGGCAUCCUGGACCAACAUUGACGCUGAGGAGCGAAAGCUAGGGGAGCAAACGGG
Molecule: ribosomal RNA, 253 nt
Filed under: uncultured bacterium
Lineage: Bacteria
Description: partial 16S ribosomal RNA
Rfam family: Bacterial small subunit ribosomal RNA
Source: RNAcentral